AUUGAACGCUGGCGGAAUGCUUUACACAUGCAAGUCGAACGGCAGCACGGACUUCGGUCUGGUGGCGAGUGGCGAACGGGUGAGUAAUGUAUCGGAACGCGCCCAGUCGUGGGGGAUAACGUAGUGAAACUUACGCUAAUACCCCAUACGAUCUAUGGAUGAAAGCGGGGGCUCGCAAGACCUCGCGCCAUUGGCGCGGCCGAUAUCAGAUUAGGUAGUCGGUGGGGUAAAGGCCCACCAAGCCAACGAUCUGUAGCUGGUCUGAGAGGACGACCAGCCACACUGGAACUGAGACACGGUCCAGACUCCUACGGGAGGCAGCAGUGGGGAAUUUUGGACAAUGGGCGAAAGCCUGAUCCAGCCAUUCCGCGUGCAGGAUGAAGGCCCUCGGGUUGUAAACUGCUUUUGUACAGAACGAAAAGGUUUCUACUAAUACUAGGAGCUCAUGACGGUACUGUAAGAAUAAGCACCGGCUAACUACGUGCCAGCCGCCGCCGUAA
RNAcentral lists this ribosomal RNA (500 nucleotides) under uncultured bacterium. RNAcentral's name for it is "partial 16S ribosomal RNA". It matches the Rfam family "Bacterial small subunit ribosomal RNA", at positions 30 to 523 of the family's 1533-position model. The record is from RNAcentral.